GCUAUCCAGAUGGCGACCGGCGCACGGGUGAGUAACGCGUAUCCAACUUCCCCAUAGUAGGGCACAGCCCGGCGAAAGUCGGAUUAAUUCCCUAUGUUGUCCAGAGAGGACAUCUGACCUGGACGAAAGAUUCAUCGCUAUGGGAUGGGGAUGCGUCUGAUUAGGUUGCAGGCGGGGUAACGGCCCACCUGGCCGACGAUCAGUAGGGGUCUGAGAGGAAGGUCCCCCACAUUGGAACUGAGACACGGUCCAAACUCCUACGGGAGGCAGCAGUGAGGAAUAUUGGUCAAUGGACGGAAGUCUGAACCAGCCAAGUAGCGUGCAGGAAUGACGGCCCUAUGGGUUGUAAACUGCUUUUAUCAGGGGAUAAAGUGAGGUAUGUAUACCUUUUUGCAUGUACCUGAUGAAUAAGGACCGGCUAAUUCCGUGCCAGCAGCGGC
This 440-nucleotide ribosomal RNA is filed under the name uncultured bacterium. RNAcentral's name for it is "bacterial SSU rRNA". It matches the Rfam family "Bacterial small subunit ribosomal RNA", at positions 78 to 518 of the family's 1533-position model. The record is from RNAcentral.